RNAcentral lists this ribosomal RNA (443 nucleotides) under uncultured bacterium. RNAcentral's name for it is "partial 16S ribosomal RNA". It matches the Rfam family "Bacterial small subunit ribosomal RNA", at positions 338 to 795 of the family's 1533-position model. The record is from RNAcentral.
CCUACGGGAGGCAGCAGUGGGGAAUAUUGCGCAAUGGAGGCAACUCUGACCCAGCAACGCCGCGUGAAUGAUGAAGGUCUUCGGAUUGUAAACUUCUAUCAGCGGGGAUGAACACGAUGGUGGUACACUAAUAGCCAGCCACUGCUUACUACGUGCCAGCAGCCGCAGUAAGACGUAGGUGGCAAGCGUUAGACUGAAUGACUGGGUGUAAGGGGGUCGUAGGUGGUUUAGUAAGUUGGCAGUGAAAUCCCGGGGCUCAACCCCGGCGCUACCGCUAAAACUAUUAGACUAGAGUGCAGGAGAGGUAAGUGGAAUUCCUAGUGUAGCGAUGGAAUGCGUAGAUAUUAGGAGGAACAUCAGUGGCGAAGGCGACUUACUGGACUGUAAAUGACACUGAGGCACGAAAGCGUGGGGAGCAAACAGGAUUAGAUACCCGUGUAGUC